GUCUUUUUGUUAAAAAUUUAAAGUCUCGCCUGCCCAAUGAAUUAUUAAAUGGCCGCGGUAUAUUGACCGUGCUAAGGUAGCAUAAUCAUUAGUUUCUUAAUUAGAAGCUGGAAUGAAGGGUUGGAUGAAAAAAUUACUGUCUUAAAUUUAAUUUAUUAGAAUUUUAUUUUUAAGUUAAAAAGCUUAAAUAAAUUUAAAAGACGAGAAGACCCUAUAGAGUUUAAUAAUUUAUAUUAUAAUUAAUUAAGAAUUAAAAUUUUUUAUUAGAAAAAAUUAUUUAAUUGGGGUGAUUAAAAAAUUAAAAUAACUUUUUUUUUAUUUUAAUAUUUAUUUAUAAGUUAGAUGAUCCUAUUUUAUAGAUUAUAAGAAAAAAUUACCUUA
RNAcentral lists this ribosomal RNA (381 nucleotides) under Neocrepidodera transversa. Its description in RNAcentral is "partial 16S large subunit ribosomal RNA". The record is from RNAcentral. Lineage: Eukaryota; Metazoa; Arthropoda; Insecta; Coleoptera; Chrysomelidae.